GUAGGUGGCAAGCGUUGUCCGGAAUUAUUGGGCGUAAAGCGCGCGCAGGCGGUUCUUUAAGUCUGAUGUGAAAGCCCACGGCUCAACCGUGGAGGGUCAUUGGAAGCUGGAGAACUUGAGUACAGAAGAGGAAAGCGGAAUUCCACGUGUAGCGGUGAAAUGCGUAGAGAUGUGGAGGAACACCAGUGGCGAAGGCGGCUUUCUGGUCUGUAACUGACGCUGAGGCGCGAAAGCGUGGGGAGCAAACAGGAUUAGAUACCCUGGUAGUCCACGCCGUAAACGAUGAGUGCUAAGUGUUAGGGGGGUUUCCGCCCCCCUUAGUGCUGCAGCUAACGCAUUAAGCACUCCGCCCUGGGAGUACGGCCGCAAGGCUG
This 374-nucleotide ribosomal RNA is filed under the name uncultured organism. RNAcentral's name for it is "partial 16S ribosomal RNA". It matches the Rfam family "Bacterial small subunit ribosomal RNA", at positions 527 to 896 of the family's 1533-position model. The record is from RNAcentral.